This 17-nucleotide unclassified non-coding RNA is filed under the name Mus musculus (house mouse). Its description in RNAcentral is "oocyte_clustered_small_RNA5819". Lineage: Eukaryota; Metazoa; Chordata; Mammalia; Rodentia; Muridae. The record is from RNAcentral.
GAGAGCCGGUGAGUUUC